This 443-nucleotide ribosomal RNA is filed under the name uncultured bacterium. Its description in RNAcentral is "partial 16S ribosomal RNA". It matches the Rfam family "Bacterial small subunit ribosomal RNA", at positions 338 to 795 of the family's 1533-position model. The record is from RNAcentral.
CCUACGGGAGGCUGCAGUGGGGAAUAUUGGACAAUGGGGGGAACCCUGAUCCAGCGACGCCGCGUGAGUGAAGAAGUAUUUCGGUAUGUAAAGCUCUAUCAGCAGGGAAGAAAGAAAUGACGGUACCUGACUAAGAAGCCCCGGCUAACUACGUGCCAGCAGCCGCGGUAAUACGUAGGGGGCAAGCGUUAUCCGGAUUUACUGGGUGUAAAGGGAGCGUAGACGGCGAUGCAAGUCUGAAGUGAAAGGCGGGGGCCCAACCUCCGGACUGCUUUGGAAACUGUAUGGCUGGAGUGCAGGAGAGGUAAGUGGAAUUCCUAGUGUAGCGGUGAAAUGCGUAGAUAUUAGGAGGAACAUCGGUGGCGAAAGCGCUUUACUGGACCAUUAUUGACGCUGAGGAACGAAAGCCAGGGGAGCAAAUGGGAUUAGAUACCCCAGUAGUC